This 330-nucleotide ribosomal RNA is filed under the name uncultured bacterium. RNAcentral's name for it is "bacterial SSU rRNA". It matches the Rfam family "Bacterial small subunit ribosomal RNA", at positions 568 to 898 of the family's 1533-position model. The record is from RNAcentral.
CGCGUAGGUGGUAGUGCAAGUCUGUGGUGGAAUCUUAGGGCUUAACCCUAAAACUGCCUUGGAAACUGCAUUACUUGAGUCAGUGAGGGGAGGGUAGAAUUCCUGGUGUAGCGGUGAAAUGCGUAGAUAUCAGGAGGAAGGCCUGUGGCGAAGGCGGCCCUCUGGCGCUGAACUGACACUGAGGCGCGAAAGCGUGGGGAGCAAACAGGAUUAGAUACCCUGGUAGUCCACGCCCUAAACGGUGGGCACUAGGUGUAGGGCUCGUAAGGGUUCUGUGCCGAAGGGAAACCAUUAAGUGCCCCGCCUGGGGAGUACGGCCGCAAGGUUGAA